UCUCCCUCUUUUCUUUCUUUACCUUCUUUCCUUUUUUAUUUCCCUUUAAAAAAUUUUAUUUCUGUAUGUCUUUCUUUCUUAUUUUAGAAAACCACUUUAUGCCGCUCGACAUGAGACAAACAGUAUUGGCCAAAUCACUUCCCCAGGAGACUGUCAUGUGGAGAUCUCUCAUUAUUUCCAGAGAAAGGAUCUAGCUCUGUUUUCCAGACUGGAGUGCAGUGAUGCUAUCAUAGCCUUGACCUCCCAAGCUCAAACGAUCCUCCCACUCAAGCCUCCCGAGUAGGUGAGACUACAGGUGCACCCCACCAUGCACAGGUGGGCAAGGACAUCGAAGUGCUCUAUACAGAAGCAGAAUGAAUAAAAGCAUCCUGGAAGACAAUUUCUUGGCUUGCUAAAAGUUUUAAAUUAUUAUAUUCCAUAGAUUCCUAUGCAAAGCAAUAUUUCAAAAAGUGUGUGUGUGUGUAUGUGGCGGGGGCGGGUGGUGGCUAACUUGACCCCAGGGGCACUUGGAAUCUCUGGAGACAUUUUUGAUUGUCGUAACUGGGGGUGGUCCAGGGUGGCCACUGGUAUUUAAUCUAUAGAAGACAGAGAUGCUGCUAAGCAUCCUGCAGUGCAUGGGCAGCCCCAUGUCCUCACACCAGGAAUUGUAUGCUCCAAAAUAUCAAUAGUGUCAAGGUUCAGAAAUCCGGAUAUGAGAUGUAAAAUAUAAGGGGAAAAAAGCCAAUGCAGAAUGAGAGAUGUGGGAGAUAGCACACCAUGACAGAAUUUUAUACUAUGCUAAGAAGUUUGGACAUUACUACCAAAGAGGAAUGCCAAAAGGAUUUAAUAUUGUUUUCUUUUCUAAGAAACACUAUUCUGAUCUAUAACAGCAGCUUUGCAAAUAAGGGACCAAAGUCCAAGCAGUUCGUUGAUUGUUUAUUGACCAAUGAACAUUAAGUGAAUUAUUAAGCGAAUUCAGAUUUGAAUAGACUGUGGCUUCAGUAAUGUCAUUUAUCUCAUUUGGGCCUCAGUUCUCUUAUUCGUAAAAUGAAAAGUCUGAAAUAGACAAUCCAAUGGGCCAUCAUGUAUUAAAAUUCUAACAUAAUAUGUCUGUGAGAAAAUAUAAUGUGGCGAAGAAUUGUUUUAUAUUUAUAUGCCGAUGUUAAUCUUAGUCACAUACAUGAAGAAGCACAUACAUAUACUCAUCUAUACUUUACCUCUCAACCUUCCUGACACAGAUUUAUAAAUGCACAGACUAUAAAGCUAGCUUGCUUUAGGUGUACUGAUGUGAGCUGAUGAAGCCUGAUGUGUGUUCCUUGUAAAAUCUUUAAAACAUUCGUUAAUACAAUUCUCCAUUGUCCUACCUGAAAUCAGAUAAUAAACUAAAUAAUCUUGAACAUACUUUUCUGUAUUGCUAAGAAAUUUUUUUUAACAAAUAUAGGAUCUGGAAUAAUUUUUGUUACAUUUCUAAGCCCUCAUUACCUGCGAUUAGAGAGAAUUGUACCAUCAAUAUAUAUUGUUUUUGGAGCCAGGAUCUUGCUCUGUUGCACAGGUUGGAGUUCAGUGGUGUGAUCCUAGCUCACUGUAGUCUCAAGCUCCUGGGCUUAAGUGAUCCUCUCACCUCAGCUUCCUGAGUAGCUGGGACUACAGGUAUUUGCCACAACAUCUGGCUAAUUUUUUGUUUUUGUAGAAAUGGAGUCAUGCUAUGUUGCUCAGGCUGGUCUCAAACACCUGGCUUCAAGCGAUUCUCCUUGACUUGACCUCCCAAAACUUUGGGAUUAUAGGUGUGAGAUACUGUCACUGGCUGGUCCCAUGAAUUUAUAAUGAUUUCAUCACAUCAACAAUAAAUGUCAGAUGCCACAUGUCACUAAAAUAAGUUUUCUUAUUGUUUAUUGGAUAGAACUUGACUUCUAAGUUAUUGUAAAAUACUUAACUUUAGAUAAUUGUGCCUGUAUUAUAUUAUCAAAAGGAACAUGUAAUAAACAAAAUGAAUUUGUG
RNAcentral lists this long non-coding RNA (1977 nucleotides) under Homo sapiens (human). RNAcentral describes it as "HSALNT0039245". Lineage: Eukaryota; Metazoa; Chordata; Mammalia; Primates; Hominidae. The record is from RNAcentral.